This 922-nucleotide ribosomal RNA is filed under the name uncultured archaeon. RNAcentral's name for it is "bacterial SSU rRNA". It matches the Rfam family "Archaeal small subunit ribosomal RNA", at positions 1 to 928 of the family's 1478-position model. The record is from RNAcentral.
UUCCGGUUGAUCCUGCCGGAGGCCACUGCUAUUGGGAUCCGACUAAGCCAUGCGAGUCGAGAGGGUUCGGCCCUCGGCAGACUGCUCAGUAACACGUGGAUAACCUAACCUUAGGUGGAAGAUAACCUCGGGAAACUGGGAAUAAUAUUCCAUAGAUCUAGGAUGCUGGAAUGCAUCUAGAUUGAAAGUUCCGACGCCUAAGGAUGGGUCUGCGGACUAUCAGGUUGUAGUCAGGGUAAAGACCUGACUAGCCUACGACGGAUAUGGGUUGUGAGAGCAAUAGCCCAGAGACGAUAUCUGAGACACGAUAUCGGGCCCUACGGGGCGCAGCAGGCGCGAAAUCUUCACAAUGUGCGAAAGCACGAUGAGGGGAUCCCAAGUGCUGGCACGUAAGUGUCAGCUGUUUCUUAGUCUAAAAAACUGAGAGAGUAAGGGCUGGGUAAGACGGGUGCCAGCCGCCGCGGUAAUACCUGCAGCUCAAGUGGUGGCCGCUAUUAUUGGGCCUAAAACGUCCGUAGCCUGUUUAGUAAAUGCUUGGGUAAAUUGUGUAGCUUAACUAUACGGAUACCGGGUAGACUGCUAAACUUGGGACCGGGAGAGGCUAGAGGUACUCCUGGGGUAGAGGUGAAAUUCUGUAAUCCUAGGGGGACCACCAGCGGCGAAGGCGUCUAGCUAGAACGGGUCUGACGGUGAGGGACGAAGCCCUGGGGCGCAAACCGGAUUAGAUACCCGGGUAGUCCAGGGUGUAAACGCUGCUUGCUUGAUGUUAGUUGGGCUCCGAGCCCAACUAGUGUCGGAGAGAAGUUGUUAAGCAAGCUGCCUGGGAAGUACGGUCGCAAGACUGAAACUUAAAGGAAUUGGCGGGGGAGCACAGCAACGGGGUGGAGCGUGGCGGUUUAUUGGAAUCAACGCCGGUAAUCUC